This 155-nucleotide small RNA is filed under the name Marmota monax (woodchuck). Lineage: Eukaryota; Metazoa; Chordata; Mammalia; Rodentia; Sciuridae. The record is from RNAcentral.
AUCACUUCUCGGCCUUUUGGCUAAGAUCAAGUGUACCUUGAUCAUGACUUUUUCCCAAGAAAGCUGAAUAUGUCUAUUAUUUCUUCUAAAAACACUUUAUAUUUCUUGUCUACCUCAUAAAAUCUCUUCACUAAAUGGUUCUGUGUGGAUAUUUC